UGAGGAAGUAAAAGUCGUAACAAGGUUUCCGUAGGUGAACCUGCGGAAGGAUCAUUAUUGAAAGCUUUGGGGAAGUUCUGUUGCUGGCCUUGUUCAGGCAUGUGCACGUUCUUCUCUGAUCCUAUUCAUCCACCUGUGCACUUUUUGUAGGGGUUUUUUCUUUGUAGGUUGACUUUGUAAUGAAGUUGACUUUUGAAGGAGAGCUUCUAUGUUCUUACAAACUUAUUGUAUGUUUUUGAAUGUUAAUUUAUUGGGACUUAACUGGCCCUCUAAAACUUAUACAACUUUCAGCAACGGAUCUCUUGGCUCUCCCAUCGAUGAAGAACGCAGCGAAAUGCGAUAAGUAAUGUGAAUUGCAGAAUUCAGUGAAUCAUCGAAUCUUUGAACGCACCUUGCGCCCUCUGGUAUUCCGGAGGGCAUGCCUGUUUGAGUGUCAUUAAAUUCUCAACUUCAAUAGUUUUUAUAACUUGUUGAAGCUUGGAUGUGGAGGUUUAUGCUGGUAUUCAUUAUCGGCUCCUCUUAAAUGCAUUAGUGGAAACCUGUUGUUUUGGGCCAACCUUGGUGUGAUAAUUAUCUACGCUUUGGUUCUGGUUCUAAACUAACGCUUUGAGUGACUGCACUUUUGUGCUGCACUUGUCAUAUGUUCUAUCUUCGGAUAGGUGUAUAGCGUUUGGGUAGCUGCAUUAGUUUGCUCUACCUGGUUAUCGGGGACGGCUGCAUUCAUUUGCUCUGUUUGGAUAACAAAAAGGAAUUUCUGCUCUCUAACUGUCUUGUAUUAGAGACACUUAUUGACUAUUUGACCUCAAAUCAGGUAGGACUACCCGCUGAACUUAAGCAUAUCAAUAA
RNAcentral lists this small RNA (846 nucleotides) under uncultured Marasmiaceae. RNAcentral's name for it is "eukaryotic LSU rRNA". The stretch from base 283 to 436 matches the Rfam family "5.8S ribosomal RNA". The record is from RNAcentral. Lineage: Eukaryota; Fungi; Basidiomycota; Agaricomycetes; Agaricales.